RNAcentral lists this ribosomal RNA (499 nucleotides) under uncultured bacterium. RNAcentral describes it as "partial 16S ribosomal RNA". It matches the Rfam family "Bacterial small subunit ribosomal RNA", at positions 28 to 507 of the family's 1533-position model. The record is from RNAcentral.
GACGAACGCUGGCGGCGUGCCUAAUACAUGCAAGUCGAGCGGACUUUCAAGAAGCUUGCUUUUUGAAAGUUAGCGGCGGACGGGCGAGUAACACGUGGGCAACCUGCCUGCAAGACGGGGAUAACUCCGGGAAACCGGGGCUAAUACCGGAUAAUAUCUUCCUUCGCAUGAAGGAAGGUUGAAAGGCGGCGCAAGCUGCCGCUUGCAGAUGGGCCCGCGGCGCAUUUGCUAGUUGGUGAGGGAACGGCUCACCAAGGCGACGAUGCGUAGCCGACCUGGGGGGGUGGUCGGCCACCCUGGGACUGGGACACGGCCCAGACUCCUACGGGAGGCAGCAGUAGGGAAUCUUCCGCAAUGGACGAAAGUCUGACGGAGCAACGCCGCGUGAGCGAAGAAGGUCUUCGGAUCGUAAAGCUCUGUUGUCAGGGAAGAACAAGUACCGUUCGAACAGGGCGGUACCUUGACGGUACCUGACCAGAAAGCCACGGCUAACUACGUG